Molecule: long non-coding RNA, 7637 nt
Organism: Talpa occidentalis (Iberian mole)
Lineage: Eukaryota; Metazoa; Chordata; Mammalia; Eulipotyphla; Talpidae
Exons: 5
Source: RefSeq, a predicted model, not a curated record
UUUCCCCCAAAACUGUUUAUGUAUAAAAUGUUUUUUAAAACCUACCUUUUAAAAAUCUAAAAACCCUCUAAUUGUUGUGUGGUCUCCACACUGCUCUGACUGGCCCAGGCCCAUCAGCGUGUCCCCGGUGGUGCCACCGCAGGGGCCUGUGUGUGCCCGUGUGCGGUGCUGGGAGCACCAAGCCCCUGUCCACGACCAGAAGUGAACCUUUCACCUUGUACUGACCUAGAGUGCAUGGGAUUUUUUUUUUCCCCCCAAGGAGAAAAUUCAGUUUUCUUGAAAUGGGCUGAGCAUGUGCUCUCUGAGCCGUGGGGUCUCCAGGUCUCACUCUCUGCAGGUUGAUUCUGCCUCUUGAGGAACAAGGAAGAGGAGCCGCACCUCACACAGUGGCACGCGGGGGCCCUCCUGGCACGUGCGUCUUGUCACGUGACACCUCAGGGCGCUGCAAGGCCCCCAGCCCCUUGCUCCCUGAUGGAAGUAGGAUGAAGCAGAACCCGACCUGCUGUGACGUCCCCCCAACACCUCCAGCGGGAGACCGAGGACAAAACAAAGGUCCUUCACAAUUUAUACAUACAGUAAUGUACAGCACAGCAAAAAGACUGCAAAAAAUUAUUUGUAAAGCCAACACAAUAGAUACUAGAAAUUGAAACCAAGGCGUUUGUUUCAACAUUUUAUCCAUUCUAAUUAAAUAAUAAAUGGACGCUACGGGGUGUGUCUACCAGUGAUGCAGAAGGUCGUGGGCAAAUGGAGCCUCAGAGAACGCUAAUCCACGCCGCGUGCUCUGUUAUUACACAACAGGUAUCUGGAUAUAUUUUUUCUGUUUUGUGUGUUUUUUUUUUUUAAAUAACAAAAGUAUAUUAAUGCCCCAUAUUGACUAUACGUUUUAUGUGCAAACCAAGGGUAAGCUUUAAAAAGUUCGUUAGUCCUUGAACCCUUUGAAAACAAGCGAACGAUACCAGAAACUACAUGGCAUAGUUAAAACUUCCAUCUGUUAAAAUAGCAAAAUCAGAGUUAUUGACUAGAUAUGGCUUUUCAUCCAGAGGAGCAGGGACGAGUUUCUAAGCGCUGGGAGUGGAGAGGGAAGAGUCCUUUAGACCACUCAGGUGUUGCCGAAUCCACGUCCAAUUGCUUUCCCGGCUCCAAACCCUUGACGUGAUUUUAAACUUGAGAAACUGCUGAACGAGUGAGAAUCAACCAUCACAUGUUAAAAAUAUGAUUUCUUGGGUCCUUCGUGGGUGUGGAAUAACACAGGGAAACUUAAGGCAAAGUUCUUCUGGGGGGCGGUCUCGUGUCACUUCCGGUGGAAGUACAGGGCCUUGGCGUUCCCCGACUCCACCUUGGGCAGCUGGUCGCUGAUGAUCUCCACCAGCAUCGCGGGGAACUCCACCUUCAGCGCCUGGGACUCUCGGAAGGUGUAGAAGCAAAAUUCCAGCAAGUCACUCACCAGCUGCAAGAGAGAGAGAGGUGAUGCGGCGAGGGCCCCGCUCCGGCCCCGGCCCUCCGGCGUCUGCGCGAGGAGCUGCGGAAACUUGCCAGGAGGCCAGGUCUGUGGAGCUGCCUAGUGGACACAGGUGAGGGGCCGAGGCGGAGGGGCUCCCUUGCCUGUUGUGUGCAUCUCGUGCAAAUCAGACUGAGCCCAGAGUUGUCUGUCUGGGACUGACAACAGGGACAGUGAGCCUUCCCAGUGGCGGGCUCCCUGCAGCGGUCUCAUCGAGAGCUCAUUCCUGCACAUGUGUAUCUUGGGCCCCUGGCGAUGGGUGGAGGGCCAGGUGGUGGGCAGCCAGGAGUGAGGGGCAGGACAGUGGGCCUUGCUGGCACAUCCCACAGUCUCUAGAUGAGCUGUGGGGGCACCCCCCACCCCCUUCAGGCUCCCCAGGAGCUGAGGGCUGAGGUUUCUCAGCUGCUUUCUUUUUGAGAUAUAAUUUAUAUACAUGUUGUGUGAGUGAUGGAAGUACAGUGGGGGCAAAAUAACUGGCAAGCGACCAUCUCCGGGACACGUAACCACUUCUUUUGUGGCAAGAACAUUUAAGAUGCGCUCACUUAGCACCGUGGACGUACAUAAUACAGGUUUGUUAACUGGGAUCACCAGGCUGUGUAUCCACCUCCCCAGGACUUAUCAAACAGUGUGAACUCCCUGUAUCUCUGACCACUUCCUCGGGCCCCCGGCAAGCACUAUUCUACUCUGUUGCUACAGGUUGGUCCUCGUUGGACGCCACAUAGAAGGAGCUCCUACGGCACUGUCUUUCUCUUGAUGUUUGUCACUUAGCAUAACCCUCGAGGUCCAUCCGUGCUGUCCUGAGGGAAUGGCUUCCCUUCUCUGGGCUGAGUAAUAGUCCGAUACGCAUGUGGAGGAAGACAUACCCACCACAUCCCCGUACCCACUCUCGGCCACUUUCUGUUUCAGGCUGACAUCGAGAGCGUGGAAGCAUCAAGGACACCUCUCCUGUUGGGCUACUCUCCUACGGUGACCCCACGACCUUUCUCAACCUCCUGGGCCUGAACUGCUCCCAAUUCUGUAAGUUAAAAACCAAGCGAUCCCCAAAUUCAAUACAGCACCGCAAGUUGCUAGUCUACUCCCUAGAAAUAGGAUUUCAAAUAAGAGAAACAAGCUAAUUUUUCUUAAUUCCCUGUCCUUCUGGGGAGAGUGACUUCUGGUCAUUUCCUGCUGUGAACAUGACCUGCCCUGAAUCUCUCUGUAGACCAAGUGUAACCCUCCCUUAGGAUUUAGGAAAAAACUCAGUUAGCAAGCCGAGGCAGGCAGGAAAGAAGUGUAAAGGCCUUUAGCACGGAGCAGAAAUUGAGAAAAUCUCACCGGGUAACAUGAGCCUGCAGGGUGGCGGCUCCUUGUGUGGGCUCAUGGGACUGAGAGAGAAUUAGCACCCGGGGCGUUGGGCCACGGAAGGUGGGAGACAUGCAGGCGCCUUCUGCACAAAGUAGCCACCCUCCCCUUGCCUGUGACCUGGGGGCAUCAAGAGGAUCCGCUCCCCAGGGCUGCUGCAGAGAACUGGCCAGAAACUCGUGCUGAGCAGAUGUUGGGUCUAAGAGGCUGAGAGGUGCUUUUGGGGUGCGACUUUGGCUCUGUCCUCCCACUGCCCCAGACUCCUUCAUUCAGCCGCAAACCACUUUCUCCGGGGGACCCAGUUUGUAAGACCUGUUCUCGUUCACCCUCAUGCAACUUCGUCCUCUGAUGCCCCCACCCCCAUCAGUGGGGACAGGUGAGCUUUGUUUUUGCCUUUCCAGACAAGAGGUUAAGGACCAGCCCCCACACUUUUACUUUAGUUGGCUGUGAGCUAAAAGCCAGCCAUGCAGGGUCUCCCUAUCUAGCUGUAGAGCCACAACCAGCGGGGCACACCCUUCAAGGGGGAGAACAGAGCCCUGGCCCCCGCUAUGGGGGACCUGGAUUCGCCUUCCCCAGAAAUCUGCGUGGGUGCCUACAGGGCUGUAGAACGUUACACCGAGGGUAUGCAUCAGUUUCUGUAUCACCCUGCAUGUCUGCAUCCGAGGGUCCUUAUCCACCGUCCGGAUUCCCAGCCUCUGCUCAGGACUGGGCCUGGGGAGAGUACAGACCCCACUGCAAAACCCUGCUCCUGCGGCCUCAGGUUCGAUGGUGAGCUGGGGGGGGCAGGGAGUGGAGCAGGAGCUUGGGAAAGGGCACCUGCUACCUGUCCGAGUAACGCCACAAACGGGCCAGGCAGGGCACUUCAGCUUUGCAGUUAAACACAAUGACCCACAUGCAGAAGCAGAGUAAACCUGUUGCUGCACACAAGGCAGCGUGCACGGGGACGGGGCUUGUCCCCACCGCUGCGCUGCCCCGGGGAGCUCCCAGCGCGAGCACCAACCAGGAGACACUGAUAAACGGAGCCAGGGCGGCGUCUCCCCGCACUUCUGGUCCAUGUGAACAGGCCGAGCCCAGCCAGCUGCCUAGGGGCUCGGAGGGGGCACAGCCUGACUGAGCAGGGACAACGCUGAAAAUCGCUGCAGGACUCAGCUCAUGGGUCCUGAGUGAGGAUGAAACCCGGGGAAGGGAGCAGGGGGAGUGUUCUGCCCUGCAGCGCCCUCCGGCUAACCCGGCCAGCAGGUCAGAAGCCUUCAGGACAGGACCCACAGGCCCUUAGCAGGUAUCUGAGGUAGGGGGUGCAGCAGUGGCACUGACCGGCCAGGAUGGACCCUGGUUCCUGAGCCCAACUGCUGUCACAGCCACACUCCCCGCCACCGCUCAUUGCUGGGUGUCAGCCCCAGGCCGGGGCACCCACCCAGGAACCCAGCAUGGUCUCCAGCCCAGAGGAUCCAGGAAGCAACGGUACACAAAGGGUACAGGGCACAUACCUUCCCCAGGCACCCCCUCUCAGGCAGGACUGGGCUCUGCAUGACUCCAAACACUUCUGCACCCCCAACACUAUUCCUACCACGAAGCCAGAAAACAGGGAAGAGCUGAGUCCUGGGGUGCAGGUGGGUGGCAAACCCAGCCCCUCAAAGUAAACCCCUUACAGACAUCUCUGCAUGGACAGGCGGACAGCCCUCAGAGAGAAACCAGCCUUUUCCUCGGUCACUCUCUCAGGAGAUGCAAGUUGCAGCUGCUUUUACUGGUUUUCCAGGCACCUUUCCCCCUCCGAUGCCCUGGUCUCCGUAGCCGUCUCCCUGCUCAUGGGGCGCCCUGGUCUGGAAAAAUCCUUCCUCACCCCUGAACUCACCAGGUGACCCACGUCCACAUUUACGCUGCGUGGGUCACGUGUCUUACGGGGACCCCUUCACCGCUGCAGGUUCCUGGAGGGCAGGACCCACCUCCCUGGCCCGGGCGCGAGGGGCCUCGCUCCUCCGACUACUUCCAAGCGUGUAGGUGAGUGCUCGGGAGUGGCUUAUCUUAGGCUUUAUUUUUAGGGCAGCAUUGGCUAGUUCUCACUGUAAUGUCAAGCAAAAACCAGGUAAUGACAGUCGACGUCUAAGUAAGCAAGCAAGCAGAACUCAAUUCGUGGGGCUAACCCUUUUCAUCCCCCCCCCCCCCCAAGAUUUGCUCUUGACUCAUUUAGGAUGGGUUUUAACCUGACUUCCCACACGUGCCACCCGCCGGUCACUGCUCACGGUGGUUGGAGGGGCUGGCUGAGGUGGGAGGAGGAAGUCACAGCGAGGAGAAGCUCCACCUGCUGCUCCAUCCGCACAAACUCCUGGACGGCAAAGAGAAACGGCUCAGCCCUCUGAUGCCCACUAGCUCUCCCUGUAACAGAAGAGGCCGGCAGUCACGUAUUCCAGGUGUCCCUGCAGCACAGGACAGGGCCGUGCAAGGAUGACACAUGGAGUCAACCCUGAUCAAAGCCCCAGCCCAGCGUGCAUAAAGUCUGCUGUAUGGGAUGGUAACAUGGUGCAAAGGUUGCCCUCAGAAAGCCUGAACCCACAGUGCCAACCCGGAGUGCUCCUGGCAGGAGAGUCCAGAGGCAUCUAAGAGGAAAAGCACCAGAAAGAUACCAGCAGGGAGGGGGAAUCUGGAGAGUCUUGCCAGAGGCAAUAAAGAGAUCACAGAAGACCAUCCUUCCUGAGGAGAGACCCCAGCAUGCACGCAGCAGCGAGAGUCAGAAGAACUUUACCAGCGCUGUCCCCACAGCUCUGCCCAGGCAGCACGCAGCAGUCACCUCUGCAACCGGGAAAGAACAGUAAGCGGGUGCCCAGCCUCCCUAGAGACGGCGGACCUCCGUGACUGGAGGAGACCGAGAACAGCAAAGGGCCUUCAUGGGACAUGGUUCCCGCUGUGUUCAGCAGAAGUCCACUCGUGGGUCCCUCCCUACCAGGCCUGCCGGCGCCGCGACACUGAGCGCAAGGUCCAGGGUGAGCAAGGGUAAAUCAGACUAGAGCUGUAGCGCCACCUUUUGGAAAGUGGAAGAGAGGUUUCUAGUCCGGUGAGGUGUAAGGAGCAAGGGAAAGUUCUUGAGUUUCAGAAACAUUUCUUUUGUUCACUUCACAUGGCAGAAGCCAGUCAGAACCUUGACGGCUCACACCUACCAAGAAUAUUGGAGAGCUCAGAUACAGAUUACAGAUAUGUUAUUUGCAUGGGAAACUUGCUUAAGAAUUCUGUCACGGUGGGACAGUGGACCUCUACCAAGGCAGAGAAAAUCCUAGCUAGUAACAGCACCGGUGAGGAGCUGACCCCAUCUGAAGGCAACCAGCAAAGAUUUAAAGUGUCUUUUACUUUCAAUGUGGAAGCAAUAAAAAACCGUAAGUGAAAUGAAAAAUCGAGUUAGGGUAUCACCAAAAGAUAGUCAUUCUGCAUACCUGAGACGCAAAGAAUGAACUGUAGAACUCAAUGGAAUGAAAUAAAAAAUGCAACAGAGAGCAUAUGAGUAGAACAAGGGGAAGAUAGGAAUUCUGAAAUAGCCCAGGUAGAGGAAAAGAAUGGAAUAUACAAUACAUGCAGAAUAUUAGAACCGGGAUACCAGAGAAAGAAGAGGGGCAGAAAGCUUAAGAAAUGACUGAACUUCCUAAGUCUGGGGAGAGAAUGUGACAUCUGGGUUCAUAAAGCUAAUAGAUUAUCCCAAAGAUAAACAACUGAAAAAGAAGGGAGAAAGAGAUUGUAACUAUAAAGGAACCCCUCUUAGCCUACCAGAUUUUCAGCAGAAAUUCUACAGGCCAGAAGAGAAUGGAAUGUUAUAUUCCAAAGUGUUGACAUUAAAAUUAUGAGCCAAGAAUACUCUGACAAAAUUAUCCUCCAGAGAUGCAGGAAAACUACUUCCCUAGACAUGAAAAAGCGAUGGAGUUCAUCACCACUGGACCAGCCUUGCAAGAAGUGCUAAAGUUUAUGUUGAAAUGAAAGACACUGAUCAGUGACAUGAAAACAUACAAGUGUAGCUACUGUAAUGUCUAAUGAACGCACCACAAAAGCAGUCAAUCAUGACAUCAGAAAUAUAAAAGGGGGUAUAAGGAGUAUAGAUGAUCAAAGUUAAGUUGCUAUUAGCUUAAAAUUGAAAUGUUUUUUCUACGAGAUGUCUUAUGUAUGCCUCACGGUAACUAUGAGGCAAAAAACCUUGAGCAGAAACGGGAAAAACAAUGAUUAAAAAUGACAUUAAUAAGUCCUUACAUAUCAGUAAUAACUAUGUAAAUGCUUGAGUUAAUGAACUGAAAGAUACAUAGUUGGGCAUUAUUAUUUUUAUUCUUUCAGUCACUCUACAAGAGACUCACUUCAUCUUUAAGGAUGCACAUAGGCUGGACAUGAAGGGGAUGCAGAAAGCUAGCCAUGCAAGUGGAAGACAAGGUAUUAGCUAUAUUUAUAUCAAAGUAAGCUUUAAGCCAAAAGUGUAACAAGACAAAGGCCACUAUAUAAAGGGACCAAUUAAUCAAGAAGAUAUAACAAUUGUAAAUAUAUUUACAGCCAAUAUUAGACUGCCUAACUAUAUUAAGGAAAUAUUGGGUAUAAUAAAAGGUUAUGUAAUUUCAUGGCAAUAAAAAAUUUAAAAGCUCUCUAAUGAACAAUCUAUCUUUGUACUUCAAGGAACUAGAGAAAUAACAAAGAUCAGAGUGGAAACAGUUCAUUGAUCUAGUCUAUGAGCUGGUUUUUCAAAUAGAUAAACAAACCUUUUUUAGAUAGACUCAAAAGACUCCAGUCAGAAAUACAAAGGAUAAUAAGAAACUACAUAUUUCUUUAAAAAAUAUAG